This is a non-coding RNA of Neolamprologus brichardi, 271 nucleotides long. NCBI's taxonomy places the organism in Eukaryota, Metazoa, Chordata, Actinopteri, Cichliformes, Cichlidae. The record is from RefSeq and is a predicted model, not a curated record.
AACCAGUGGAUCACAUUUUUUAAAAUGUGUUUUCUUUUAUAGACUGAGGAGGACAAGAAGAACAUUAACAGGCUGCAGGAUCUGGUUGACAAGCUGCAGCUCAAGGUGAAGGCCUACAAGAGGCAGGCUGAGGAAGCGGAGGAGCAGGCCAAUGUCCAUCUGUCCAAGUACAGGAAGAUCCAGCAUGAGCUUGAGGAGGCCGAGGAACGUGCCGAUAUUGCCGAGUCCCAGGUCAACAAGCUGAGAGCUAAGAGCCGCGACUCUGGCAAGG